GACGAACGCUGGCGGCGUGCUUAACACAUGCCAGUCGAACGAUGAAGCCUAGCUUGCUAGGUGGAUUAGUGGCGAACGGGUGAGUAAUACGUGAGUAACCUACCUUUAACUCUGGGAUAAGCCUGGGAAACUGGGUCUAAUACCGGAUACGACCAAUCUCCGCAUGGGGUGUUGGUGGAAAGCGUUAUGUAGUGGUUAUAGAUGGGCUCACGGCCUAUCAGCUUGUUGGUGAGGUAACGGCUCACCAAGGCGACGACGGGUAGCCGGCCUGAGAGGGUGACCGGCCACACUGGGACUGAGACACGGCCCAGACUCCUACGGGAGGCAGCAGUGGGGAAUAUUGCACAAUGGGCGCAAGCCUGAUGCAGCGACGCCGCGUGAGGGAUGACGGCCUUCGGGUUGUAAACCCCUGUUAGCAGGGAAGAAGAGAGAUUGACGGUACCUGCAGAGAAAGCGCCGGCUAACUACGUG
Molecule: ribosomal RNA, 471 nt
Filed under: uncultured bacterium
Lineage: Bacteria
Description: partial 16S ribosomal RNA
Rfam family: Bacterial small subunit ribosomal RNA
Source: RNAcentral